Molecule: ribosomal RNA, 562 nt
Filed under: uncultured bacterium
Lineage: Bacteria
Description: bacterial SSU rRNA
Rfam family: Bacterial small subunit ribosomal RNA
Source: RNAcentral
CCUACGGGAGGCAGCAGUGGGGAAUAUUGGGCAAUGGAGGAAACUCUGACCCAGCGACGCCGCGUGCGGGAUGAAGGCCUUCGGGUUGUAAACCGCUUUCAGCAGGGAAGAAGCGAAAGUGACGGUACCUGCAGAAGAAGCACCGGCUAACUAUGUGCCAGCAGCCGCGGUAAUACAUAGGGUGCAAGCGUUGUCCGGAAUUAUUGGGCGUAAAGAGCUCGUAGGUGGUUCGUCACGUCGGAUGUGAAAUCUGGGGCUUAACCCCAGACCUGCAUUCGAUACGGGCGAGCUUGAGUAUGGUAGGGGAGUCUGGAAUUCCUGGUGUAGCGGUGGAAUGCGCAGAUAUCAGGAGGAACACCAAUGGCGAAGGCAGGACUCUGGGCCAUUACUGACACUGAGGAGCGAAAGCGUGGGGAGCGAACAGGAUUAGAUACCCUGGUAGUCCACGCCGUAAACGGUGGGCACUAGUUGUGGGGACCUUCCACGGUCUCUGCGACGCAGCUAACGCAUUAAGUGCCCCGCCUGGGAGUACGAUCGCAGAUUAAACUCAAUGAAUUGACGG